CACAGUAAGAGCUUGCUCUUAUGGGUGGCGAGUGGCGGACGGGUGAGGAAUACAUCGGAAUCUACUCUGUCGUGGGGGAUAACGUAGGGAAACUUACGCUAAUACCGCAUACGACCUACGGGUGAAAGCAGGGGAUCUUCGGACCUUGCGCGAUUGAAUGAGCCGAUGUCGGAUUAGCUAGUUGGCGGGGUAAAGGCCCACCAAGGCGACGAUCCGUAGCUGGUCUGAGAGGAUGAUCAGCCACACUGGAACUGAGACACGGUCCAGACUCC
This 272-nucleotide ribosomal RNA is filed under the name uncultured Stenotrophomonas sp. RNAcentral's name for it is "partial 16S ribosomal RNA". It matches the Rfam family "Bacterial small subunit ribosomal RNA", at positions 68 to 339 of the family's 1533-position model. The record is from RNAcentral. Lineage: Bacteria; Pseudomonadati; Pseudomonadota; Gammaproteobacteria; Lysobacterales; Lysobacteraceae.